UACGAAGGGGGCUAGCGUUGCUCGGAAUUACUGGGCGUAAAGGGCGCGUAGGCGGCUAUUUAAGUUAGAGGUGAAAGCCCAGGGCUCAACCCUGGAAUAGCCUUUAAUACUGGAUAUCUUGAGUUCGGGAGAGGUGAGUGGAACUCCGAGUGUAGAGGUGAAAUUCGUAGAUAUUCGGAAGAACACCAGUGGCGAAGGCGACUCACUGGCCCGAUACUGACGCUGAGGCGCGAAAGCGUGGGGAGCAAACAGG
This 253-nucleotide ribosomal RNA is filed under the name uncultured bacterium. RNAcentral's name for it is "partial 16S ribosomal RNA". It matches the Rfam family "Bacterial small subunit ribosomal RNA", at positions 524 to 776 of the family's 1533-position model. The record is from RNAcentral.